CUGCAGCCCGGCUUGAGUGGAAAUCCUUUUUUUGCGGCUGGAAAAGCUUUGGAAAAAGAUUGGGAACGGAAGACGGAAAUAGC
RNAcentral lists this small RNA (83 nucleotides) under Epilithonimonas lactis. RNAcentral describes it as "Chryseobacterium halperniae Flavo-1 RNA". The record is from RNAcentral. Lineage: Bacteria; Pseudomonadati; Bacteroidota; Flavobacteriia; Flavobacteriales; Weeksellaceae.